Molecule: non-coding RNA, 180 nt
Filed under: Malonomonas rubra DSM 5091
Lineage: Bacteria; Pseudomonadati; Thermodesulfobacteriota; Desulfuromonadia; Desulfuromonadales; Geopsychrobacteraceae
Description: 6S / SsrS RNA
Rfam family: 6S / SsrS RNA
About the family: E. coli 6S RNA was the first non coding RNA to be sequenced, but its function was unknown until recently. It consists of 184 nucleotides that fold into an extended hairpin structure with a large single-stranded internal bulge.
Source: Rfam by way of RNAcentral
GACUCUCUGCCCUGCAGGUGAGGUCAGAACGUCCACUCGGAAUACUUUAUUUUCGGGAUCAUUUUAAGAAGCCCGGUGUGCCUGCCCGCCUCGUAGCGGGACGCCUAAUGGGUUUACAAAUGGUCCCACCUCAUUGGAACUCGAUGUGAGUCCAAUGACCCACGGCAGAGUGGAGAGUCG